GCGGAGAUAGUUUAAUCGGUAAAAUGCUAUAGUAACUUUGCGUUUUUGUCUGGAAGGAAUGCUGUAAGGUUUACAUUUCUAUGGUUAAGAAGUGUUGCAGGUUCGAGUCCUGCUCUCCGCG
RNAcentral lists this transfer RNA (121 nucleotides) under Bacteriophage sp. Its description in RNAcentral is "tRNA-OTHER". It matches the Rfam family "tRNA". From Rfam's summary of the family: Transfer RNA (tRNA) molecules are approximately 80 nucleotides in length. Their secondary structure includes four short double-helical elements and three loops (D, anti-codon, and T loops). The record is from RNAcentral.